GACGAACGCUGGCGGCGUGCUUAACACAUGCAAGUCGAACGGAAAGGCCCUGCUUUUGUGGGGUGCUCGAGUGGCGAACGGGUGAGUAACACGUGAGUAACCUGCCCUUGACUUUGGGAUAACUUCAGGAAACUGGGGCUAAUACCGGAUAGGAGCUCCUGCUGCAUGGUGGGGGUUGGAAAGUUUCGGCGGUUGGGGAUGGACUCGCGGCUGAUCAGCUUGUUGGUGGGGUAGUGGCUUACCAAGUCUUUGACGGGUAGCCGGCCUGAGAGGGUGACCGGGCACAUUGGGACUGAGGUACGGCCCAGACUCCUACGGGAGGCAGCAGUGGGGAAUAUUGCCCAAUGGGCGGAAGUCUGAUGCAGCAACGCCGCGUGCGGGAUGACGGCCUUCGGGUUGUAAACCGCUUUCGCCUGUGACGAAGCGUGAGUGACGGUAAUGGGUAAAGAAGCACCGGCUAACUACGUG
RNAcentral lists this ribosomal RNA (468 nucleotides) under uncultured bacterium. Its description in RNAcentral is "partial 16S ribosomal RNA". It matches the Rfam family "Bacterial small subunit ribosomal RNA", at positions 28 to 507 of the family's 1533-position model. The record is from RNAcentral.